This 621-nucleotide ribosomal RNA is filed under the name uncultured yard-trimming-compost bacterium. RNAcentral describes it as "bacterial SSU rRNA". It matches the Rfam family "Bacterial small subunit ribosomal RNA", at positions 37 to 651 of the family's 1533-position model. The record is from RNAcentral.
UGGCGGCAUGCUUUACACAUGCAAGUCGAGCGGCAGCGCGGGGGCAACCCUGGCGGCGAGCGGCGAACGGGUGAGUAACGCAUCGGAACGUAUCCCGUAAUGGGGGAUAACCCGGCGAAAGCCGGGCUAAUACCGCAUACGCACUACGGUGGAAAGCGGGGGAUCCGCAAGGACCUCGCGUUAUGGGAGCGGCCGAUGCCCGAUUAGCUUGUUGGUGGGGUAAUGGCUUACCAAGGCGACGAUCGGUAGCUGGUCUGAGAGGAUGAUCAGCCACACUGGGACUGAGACACGGCCCAGACUCCUACGGGAGGCAGCAGUGGGGAAUUUUGGACAAUGGGGGCAACCCUGAUCCGGCCAUGCCGCGUGCGGGAAGAAGGCCUUCGGGUUGUAAACCGCUUUUAGCCGGGAAGAAAAGGCGCGAGCUAAUACCUUGCGUUUUUGACGGUACCGGCGGAAUAAGCACCGGCUAACUACGUGCCAGCAGCCGCGGUAAUACGUAGGGUGCGAGCGUUAAUCGGAAUUACUGGGCGUAAAGCGUGCGCAGGCGGUUCGUCGUGUCCGAUGUGAAAGCCCCGGGCUCAACCUGGGAAUGGCAUUGGAAACUGGCGGGCUUGAGUGUGG